Non-coding RNA from Tetranychus urticae (two-spotted spider mite), 1843 nucleotides. Lineage: Eukaryota; Metazoa; Arthropoda; Arachnida; Trombidiformes; Tetranychidae. The record is from RefSeq and is a predicted model, not a curated record.
UUUUUUUGUAGAUUUUUUCAUUUUUAUAAACAUUGUCCAUGCACAUUGGCUGAUGUACCAGACUGCACUCUUUGGGUUGACAUUUUAAACUUCCAUGUCAACCCAAUCAAAGCUUUCAAGGAUAUCAAUGAUUGAAAAAAAGUUUAACCUUUCAACUUCAGUAUCAUCGUAAUGUAACUCGCCCAUAUUGAAGGUUUUUGACUGAUUCGUGAAAACACAGAGUAAAGUUAAAGAGUAAAGUGAAGUGACCAAGUUGACGGGUUAAGAUGAAAUGAAUGAAAAGUGCUUGAGAAGAAUAGAGCUAGUCCUUAAAUGAGGUCAUUUUGUCCGAAACAUGGUCCUAAAAAUAGCAUAACUUGACCGAUAUUUGAUCAGUUCUCUUCUCUUAUUGGUUGCAAUCAAGUUAAAUCGGCCGUGAAUCUUCUCAUUCGAAGAGAACAGUCUAAAAAGCUAAAACCUGUAAGUACUGUUUACUUUGACCAGAUAACUGAAAAAACAAAGAUUAACAAACCUUUAAGCUUAACCCAAUCACUAGUAAUAACAAUGGUUUUAGUUUUUGAAAAAUAUCAUCAAUCAUCUCUAUUUACAGCUCAUGAAAGAUUGGCAAUACUUUCAAAUGGUGAUCAAAGGGGCCAAACUCUGAAUACCCGUGAAGCCAAAGAAAAGUUGAAUUUUGUAUCGCGACCAAACCAGAAUGGAUGCAAACUGGAUUAAGUUUUUAAAAGAAAAUCGUGAAAUAAAAAAUAUGCACGAGGCAAUGGAAUGGUAAGUUAAUGUAUUAAUUCGUUACAUUUCAAAAAACGAAGCCCAUCGGAAUCUCUAAUUACAUAAAAGAUCUAAUCAUCAAACUUUUUCAUGGAAAUAAACUGAUGAUUAUUGAAGAUAUGCUUGAUUUUUCUUCAAAACCACUCUUUUUUCAAGCUUAUCGGAAAUCCUGUGAUUCUAAAUCGCACUCAGUUAACUAAAAUUUUAUGCAAAAAAGGAUAAAUCUGACCAAAUAUGCUUCAAGUUUAGCUUUUCAUCGGACUGAGGAAAGGAGUAAAAUUUCAUGCUGAUGCUGAAAAUGCAAGCCGUUUUGAUGCCUUCGUGAUGCUUUCGUGUUAGCUUGUUAUUAAUAAAAAUAUUACAAAUUGCGAGAAAUGAGCGACAGAGUGAAUCAACAACUUAAGAUGCACUGCGUUACGCUGAUAUCUUGAAUUGAAUAACUCGCGCUUCCUGACUCGUCAUCCUUUGCUCUUGAUCUUGUGAGCUCAAUUUAUAUUUGAAUCUGAAAUUAAGCAUUGAUUGUCAUGUAUACAUUCAAUACGUGCUUUUAUAUACGCAUCAUCAACAUAAAAAUGGAUGAUGCAAAGCUUUGGCAAAAAUGGACAUGAAAGAGAGAAAGGAAGAGAAGGCGAAUUCGUGAAAGCUUGGAAAUUGGAAUAAGCUAAUUCCGAAAUUGUUGGCUAAACUAGAGAAGCGUAAGAUCUACCGUAAUCAGCAUUGUGCAGUGAUCAAAAUCAGCAUGACUCAAUUCAAAUGGAGUUUGGACCUGAGAUAAAUGUUUUAAUGAAAAGUAAAUAACCUUUAACUUUUGCAAGUUUUCACAUUGCUGAGUAAUUGAAUCGGGUAAUCAGUUAAUGUACUUGAUUACUCCAAAAAGACAUUUGUUACAAUUUUUGAAAUAAUGUAUUACUCACAAUUGUCAGUACACAGAAAAACAUUUUUUCGCUUAUCAAAUCAGCAAAUAUGAUCCAAUAAAUGUUCAGUGAUUCUCAGAUUAUUUUAUUAAGAUUUGAUUGCUUUAUAAAUUCAAUAUUCUAUCUCAGAUAAAUUCAUACAUGUAAAAAAUCAGCAAAUCAGG